This 74-nucleotide non-coding RNA is filed under the name Lachnospiraceae bacterium A10. RNAcentral describes it as "c-di-GMP-I riboswitch aptamer". It matches the Rfam family "c-di-GMP-I riboswitch aptamer". Rfam says of the family: GEMM was predicted in a large-scale screen for bacterial structured RNA regulatory elements. Lineage: Bacteria; Bacillati; Bacillota; Clostridia; Lachnospirales; Lachnospiraceae. The record is from Rfam by way of RNAcentral.
UAACUUAAAAGGCAAACUUAUCGAAAGGUAAGGACGCAAAGCUAUAGGGCCUCAAAUGGCAGCCAGUUGCAUUC